UACGUAGGGGGCAAGCGUUGUCCGGAAUCAUUGGGCGUAAAGAGCGUGUAGGCGGCCCGGUAAGUCCGCUGUGAAAGUCGAGGGCUCAACCCUCGAAUGCCGGCGGAUACUGUCGGGCUAGAGUCCGGAAGAGGCGAGUGGAAUUCCUGGUGUAGCGGUGAAAUGCGCAGAUAUCAGGAGGAACACCUACGGCGAAGGCAGCUCGCUGGGACGGUACUGACGCUGAGACGCGAAAGCGUGGGGAGCAAACAGG
This 253-nucleotide ribosomal RNA is filed under the name uncultured bacterium. Its description in RNAcentral is "partial 16S ribosomal RNA". It matches the Rfam family "Bacterial small subunit ribosomal RNA", at positions 524 to 776 of the family's 1533-position model. RNAcentral also lists the same sequence under 1 other name. The record is from RNAcentral.